UACGGAGGGGGCUAGCGUUGUUCGGAAUCACUGGGCGUAAAGCGCACGUAGGCGGACUGGAAAGUCAGAGGUGAAAUCCCAGGGCUCAACUCCGGAACUGCCUUUGAUACUCCCGGUCUUGAGGUCGAGAGAGGUGAGUGGAAUUGCGAGUGUAGAGGUGAAAUUCGUAGAUAUUCGCAAGAACACCAGUGGCGAAGGCGGCUCACUGGCCCGAUACUGACGCUGAGGUGCGAAAGCGUGGGGAGCAAACAGG
This 253-nucleotide ribosomal RNA is filed under the name uncultured bacterium. RNAcentral's name for it is "partial 16S ribosomal RNA". It matches the Rfam family "Bacterial small subunit ribosomal RNA", at positions 524 to 776 of the family's 1533-position model. The record is from RNAcentral.